CACAGCUUUUGUCUUCCUGCUCUUAGCUUGACGUUGUGUCUGGCCACACGGGCCAUGUUGGCUAUUUUUACUGACAGCAGCCACCAGCGCAUAUGGUUCCUAUUACCACAAACUGUUACCUUCAUUGAAACCAGUUUGCAAAUGAGUGGACUGCAGACAGCAGGGAGGUCAAGUCCACGUGGCCACUCACAGGACUCCUGGGAUUGGCCUGGACAGAGGUAACGGGACAGAAGCUUGGAGGGCCUCACUCACUCUCUCAAGUCUCCGUACCUAGUAAGGAAUGUCAGCCUGGACCUCAGGCCUCAACACUACUGUUGCCUGAAUGGCCUGAAACAAAACCAGGCAAGACUUGUUCAAAGACAUCAGCUAGCAGCUUGCAGCAGGGCCUGAUGGGGCAUGUCUCAUCGAAACUGGAAGCUGGCAUUGAGACCCGGGCUCACGAUGGCACUCUAAAGCUGCUGCCACUCCAGCUGGAUGACACAAAAUGGGUGUAAACAAAGGGCUUCUUCCUGCAGUGUAGAAUGUCAUCUUAGGAAGGUCCGGGAGCUAUGGUAGUGCACUGCACGCAGGCCUGCCAGAGCGGCGGGGAGGUGAAAAGGAAAGCUCUGGAAUUGGAAUGAGUCUGGAGGCAGGGGAAAACAUCUUGCUUUUCCCUGAGGCUAUUUCCAGAGCUUGGAUGAGGACCAGUGACAGGGUUGCAGGUCCACUGGUCUACAUGACCACAAGCAGAAAUCAGGUAACACAGGUUGGAUCCUUUAACUUUUAUAGGGUUUGUGGAAUUACAACAUCAAGGGCUACUAUGAUAAGUCAGGGGCAUCUGAAACUGUUCAGAAUAAAUUCUUUUUAAGAUAUCUCUCUCCU
Long non-coding RNA from Canis lupus familiaris (dog), 861 nucleotides. RefSeq lists it as uncharacterized. NCBI's taxonomy places the organism in Eukaryota, Metazoa, Chordata, Mammalia, Carnivora, Canidae. The record is from RefSeq and is a predicted model, not a curated record. The transcript has 3 exons.